RNAcentral lists this long non-coding RNA (3027 nucleotides) under Sus scrofa (pig). RNAcentral describes it as "lncRNA (ENSSSCG00025029748.1)". Lineage: Eukaryota; Metazoa; Chordata; Mammalia; Artiodactyla; Suidae. The record is from RNAcentral.
AAAAAAAAAAAAAAUUCAAUCAAUAUACAAACACCAACCAUAUACCUGGAGGCAGUGGUCACUGCAGCUGUGGGACCUUGGGCCUCAGUUUCCUUGUGUGUAACGAGGGCAACGACAUUGGCCUCUUGGGAGUGUUGCGAAGGUUAAAGGGAGUAGCAGGUGCAAGGCUUCCCCGGGCCUCCUGCGUGGCUCAGCAGAGAGGUAUCAAUGACAGAGUCAUGUUUACCAAGGCCUUAAGCUCUUCAGUUAUUUUAUUCACAUGAUCCUCAAAAUAAGCUGAUGGAGAAGGCACUGUUUUGUUGGUCACCCCUAUUUUAUGGCCCAGGAAGCUGAGGCUCAGAGAAGUGAGAUGACUUGCCCAAGGCCUCGAGGCCGGUGCGUGGUGGACAGAACGGCGCUGGACACCAGAGCCCGGCUCGUGACCAUUGAUCGGGAGAUGGAGACAAGUCAGGGAUGCCACCAGAGGAGGGAGAGGGGAGGGAACACGGUCAGACUGAUGGACCAGAUGGUGGGGGUGGACAUGGGGGAGGGUGCCCCUAGCUUCUAGCCUGGUGACCAAGUGGAAGGUCAUUGCAUUUCCUGAGUGAGGGACACAGUGGGACAGGCAGGCUUGGGGAGGAAGGACGUGCUGUCGGGGUGUCUGGGUCAGGGAGGCCAGGAGGUCUGGAGUCUAGGCUGGGGAUCUGUCUGGAAAGGGCGGACUGAGCUCAUGGGGUGAGUGGAGGGCAUGUGGGCGGGUGCAGGAGCCCCAGCCCUGAGAUGAGGUCGAUAGCAGGCACUGUGCUUCCUUUACUCUGUGCCAGACACGAUCCGAAGCCCUCGUUUUAUUUAAAUUCUCCCAACGAACCCUAUGAGGCAGCACCAUUACCAUCCAUCCCCAUUUUAUGGAUGGGGAAAUUGAGGCCAGAGAAGUUCAGGCAGGUCCAGAAUAGGCGCAUCUGUAGGACAGAAGGUAGACUGGUGGUUGCCCAGGGCUGGGGGGAUGGGGAUGAUGGCUAAAGGGUUUGAUUUGGGGGGCGAUGGUUGCACAACUCUAUAAAUAUCCUAAAGACAUUGAAUUGUGCACUUUAUUGUUAUUAUUUCUGGCUUUGCCCUUAGCAUGUGGAAGUUCCUGGCCCAGGGAUCGAACCCUUGCCAUAGUAGUGAUCUGAGCUGCAGCACAGGUUAAGAACCCGACAUAGUGUCCCUGAGGAUGCAGACUCGACCCUGGCCCCACUUAGUGGGUUAAGGAUCCAGCGUUGCCACAAGCUGUGGUGUAGGUCACAGAUGGGGCGCGGAUCUGGCAUUGCUGGGCUGUGGCAUAGGCUGGCAGCCGAAGCUCUGAUUCAACCCCUAGCCUGGGAAGCUCCAGAUGCUGCGGGUGUGGCCCUAAAAAGAAAAAAAGAAAGCUGAGAGAGAGCGAGAGCCGCCCAGCCAGCAGGGCUUGGAGAGAAGGGGCCUCGGGGGCAGGGAGGAGGGCAGAGGUACAGGGAAGCCCGGGCGGGUCGGGUGUGGGGCAGAGGCAGUUUGGGGGAGAAGCUGGGGGAGGAUGUGUUUGCAGCGUCAGCUGCUCCCAACUGGCCCAGGGAGCGAGACCUUGGGGUUUGUCAGGCCAGGUCCCCCGGUGACCUGGCCCACAGUGGUGGGGGGCCCGGCCCUGCGGCGGAGGGGCCCUUCUGGGGGUGGAGGUGUUCAAGGAGCACGUCAUCCUUUCGGAUGCAGACAUCCUUGCCCCUGGGUGGAGGUUUCUCCCCCUUGGGAAGCAGGAACCCCCCUCCCCCAACCCCAGCACUUGGAGGCUUUUGCUGCAUGUGACUUGAGGGGUGGAGGUUGGGGGCGAACCCCUCAGCGGUUCUUCCUGAAGGAGCAAGACCCCCGGUCAACCGCUCACCCAGAAGCUUCGUACCGCAGCCUCUUCCACGAGAGGGUCCCCGGGCUGCUGGGAGGGCACUAAGUGAAGCCCGGGGACAGCGGUGCCACUCCCACCCGACAGAGAGGGCGGUCGCCAUCGGGAUGGCAGCCAGGCUUCCCAACUGAGAAUGGGAGGCCAAGCUGCCCUGGUGUCCAGGUCAGGGAUGCGGACGCAUGGAGAGGCUCCAGGGGCCCCUUGGCAGCUGUGGGCAGCAGCCUCCUCUCCAGGCCUUCCGUGGCCACCACUGCCACAGCCCUGCUGCCGGUCGUUUAUUCAGUAGCUGUCCCCCCCAUGCCUCCAGCCUUGGGUCUGCGAUGCAGGAGGGAGACUAGCCCAGGGCCAGGCUCCCGCGAGGGGGUGGAGCACAUGUAAUUCUCUCGGGAGGGGUCUUGCUGGAGUCCCCCCAUCCCCAUCAGGCACUUCUCCCCCAGGGAACCCCUCACAGGCCCACUUAGAGCCCGCUUCUCCUUUUUGACACAGUCAUGAUACCUUGGUGCUCUGAUUUCCUAGACCAGAGCGGCGUAAAAGAUCAUUAGAAACGUGCACGGAGAGAAGGAAGGUCCAAAAAGAGGGAAACAGUUGCUAAAACUCAAAUAUUUGUUAAAGAGUUCUGUCUUAUAUUAAGUGUUCUUCUCCUAAAACAAGACCCACAAUUGGCCUUAUUGGAAACAACCUUUGCAGCCCACUCUAACUGAGCACCUAGAGCCACUGUGUAACCAGGGCCACCUGUGGGCACUGCCACUCAUCACAGGACCUGUGGGUGCUGUCCUGGCUGUUACUGCAGAAUGCCUUGGUACAAGGGACAAGAAUGCAUUUGCAGGACACUUUGUUAAACCAACUAGGUGUGAAAGACAGGCCUGGGGGUCCCCGCUGUGGCACGGCGGAAAGGAAUCCAACAAGUAUCCAUGAGGAUUCGGGUUCAAUCCCUGGCCUUGCUCAGUGGGUCAGGGAGCUGGUAUGGCUGUGAGCUGUGGUGUAGGUUGCAGGAGUAGCUUGGAUCCUGUAUUGCUGUGGUUGUGGUGUAGGCCAGCAGCUGCAGCUCGGAUUCAACCCCUAGCCUGGGACCUUCCAUAUGCUGCCGGUGUGGCCCCAAACAGCCAGGAGAAAAAAAAAAAAAAAAAAAAAAAAAAAAAAAA